GACGAACGCUGGCGGCGUGCUUAACACAUGCAAGUCGAACGGAAAGGCCCUGCUUUUGUGGGGUGCUCGAGUGGCGAACGGGUGAGUAACACGUGUGUAACCUGCCCUUGACUUUGGUAUAACUUCAGGAAACUGGGGCUAAUACCGGAUAGGAUCUCCUGCUGCAUGGUGUGGGUUGGAAAGUUUCGGCGGUUGGGGAUGGACUCGCGGGUUAUCAGCUUGUUGGUUGGGUAGUGGCUUACCAAGGCUUUGACGGGUAGCCGGACUGAGAGGGUGACCGGAGACAUUGGGACUGAGAUACGGCACAGACUCCUACGGGAGGCAGCAGUGGGGAAUAUUGCAAAAUGGGCGGAAGCCUGAUGCAGCAACGCCGCGUGCGGGAUGACGGCCUUCGGGUUGUAAACCGAUUUCGCAUGUGACGAAGAGUGAGUGACGGUAAUGGGUAAAGAAGCACCGGCUAACUACGUG
This 468-nucleotide ribosomal RNA is filed under the name uncultured bacterium. RNAcentral describes it as "partial 16S ribosomal RNA". It matches the Rfam family "Bacterial small subunit ribosomal RNA", at positions 28 to 507 of the family's 1533-position model. The record is from RNAcentral.